UACGGAGGGUGCGAGCGUUGUCCGGAAUCAUUGGGCGUAAAGGGCGCGUAGGUGGCCCGGUCAGCGUGCGGUGAAAGCUCGGGGCUCGACCCCGAGUCGGCCGUGCGAACUGCUGGGCUUGAGCACUGUAGAGGCAGGCGGAAUUCCGGGUGUAGCGGUGGAAUGCGUAGAGAUCCGGAAGAACACCGGUGGCGAAGGCGGCCUGCUGGGCAGUGGCUGACACUGAGGCGCGACAGCGUGGGGAGCAAACAGG
This 253-nucleotide ribosomal RNA is filed under the name uncultured bacterium. Its description in RNAcentral is "partial 16S ribosomal RNA". It matches the Rfam family "Bacterial small subunit ribosomal RNA", at positions 524 to 776 of the family's 1533-position model. The record is from RNAcentral.